ACGGGUGCGUAACGCGUGGGAAUCUGCCCUCUGGUUCGGAAUAACUCAGGGAAACUUGAGCUAAUACCGGAUAAUGUCUUCGGACCAAAGAUUUAUCGCCUGAGGAUGAGCCCGCGUCGGAUUAGCUAGUUGGUGGGGUAAAAGCCUACCAAGGCGACGAUCCGUAGCUGGUCUGAGGGGAUGAUCAGCCACACUGGGACUGAGACACGGCCCAGACUCCUACAGGAGGCAGCAGUAGGGAAUAUUGGACAAUGGGCGAAAGCCUGAUCCAGCAAUGCCGCGUGAGUGAUGAAGGCCUUAGGGUUGUAAAGCUCUUUUACCCGGGAUGAUAAUGACAGUACCGGGAGAAUAAGCCCCGGCUAACUCCGUGCCAGCAGCCGCGGUAAUACGGAGGGGGCUAGCGUUGUUCGGAAUUACUGGGCGUAAAGCGCACGUAGGCGGCUUUGCAAGUCAGAGGUGAAAGCCCGGGGCUCAACCCCGGAAUUGCCUUUGAGACUGCAUCGCUAGAAUUGUGGAGAGGUAAGUGGAAUUCCGAGUGUAGAGGUGAAAUUCGUAGA
Molecule: ribosomal RNA, 557 nt
Filed under: uncultured bacterium
Lineage: Bacteria
Description: bacterial SSU rRNA
Rfam family: Bacterial small subunit ribosomal RNA
Source: RNAcentral